GACGAACGCUGGCGGCGUGCCUAAUACAUGCAAGUAGAACGCUGAAGGAGGAGCUUGCUUCUCUGGAUGAGUUGCGAACGGGUGAGUAACGCGUAGGUAACCUGCCUGGUAGCGGGGGAUAACUAUUGGAAACGAUAGCUAAUACCGCAUAAUAGUAGAUGUUGCAUGACAUUUGCUUAAAAGGUGCAAUUGCAUCACUACCAGAUGGACCUGCGUUGUUUUAGCUAGUUGGUGGGGUAACGGCUCACCAAGGCGACGAUACAUAGCCGACCUGAGAGGGGGAUCGGCCCCACUGGGACUGAGACACGGCCCAGACUCCUACGGGGAGGCGCAGGAGGGAAUCUUCGGCAAUGGACGGAAGUCUGACCGAGCAACGCCGCGGGAGGGAAGAAGGGUUUCGGGUCGUAAAGCUCUGUUGUAAGAGAAGAACGAGUGUGAGAGUGGAAAGUUCACACUGUGACGGUAUCUUACCAGAAAGCGACGGCUAACUACGUG
RNAcentral lists this ribosomal RNA (495 nucleotides) under uncultured bacterium. RNAcentral's name for it is "partial 16S ribosomal RNA". It matches the Rfam family "Bacterial small subunit ribosomal RNA", at positions 28 to 507 of the family's 1533-position model. The record is from RNAcentral.